This 466-nucleotide ribosomal RNA is filed under the name uncultured bacterium. Its description in RNAcentral is "partial 16S ribosomal RNA". It matches the Rfam family "Bacterial small subunit ribosomal RNA", at positions 28 to 507 of the family's 1533-position model. The record is from RNAcentral.
GAUGAACGCUGGCGGCGUGCCUAACACAUGCAAGUCGAACGGAAAGGCCGAAGCUUGCUUCGGUACUCGAGUGGCGAACGGGUGAGUAACACGUGGGGGAUCUGCCCUGUACUUCGGGAUAAGCUUGGGAAACUGGGUCUAAUACCGGAUAUGACAAUCUCUUGGAUGGGGUUGUGGAAAGCUUGUGCGGUAUGGGAUGAGCUCGCGGGCUAUCAGCUUGGUGGUGGGGUAUUGGCCUACCAACGCGUCGACGGGUAGCCGGCCCGGGAGGGUGUACGGCGACCAUGGGCCUGCGAGAAGGACCAGAAGGGUACCGGCGGCAGUAGGGGGGAAUAUUGCGGAACGGCGCCAAGUCAGAUGUAGAGGUCCCCGGUUCGGAAUGCCGGCCUUCGGGUUGUAAACAACUUUCGCAACAGACGAAGAUUUUGUGACGGUAGGUUGAGAAGAAGCACCGGCUAACUACGUG